UUCAAGUUUUUAUCAUGACCUUGAUUUUUAGCAUGUUCUGUCUCCCCUUGAUCUGUCAGCUUAACAAUUAUAUGAGAAUCAAACCCAGGCAACAAUCGGAGCUUCAGUAAAAGAAAGCAAUGGCUACCACCAGGACAGCUGAUGAAGCCUCCCCUUCAUCGUCUUCCCCCUCCUCCAAACAUUGGACGUACGACGUGUUCUUGAGCUUCAGAGGCGAAGACACUCGACUUGGCUUCACAGACAACCUCUACAUGACAUUGAAAGAAGCUGGAAUCAACACCUUUCUUGAUGACACUGAACUAAGAAGAGGGGAAAAUAUAGCUGAGGAACUGAUGCGGGCAAUCCAACAGUCCAAAAUCUCUGUCAUCGUCUUCUCAAGGAAGUAUGCGGAAUCCAGAUGGUGUCUGGAGGAGCUGGUGAAGAUCAUGGAGUGUAGAAGAACACUCAGGCAAACAGUUCUCCCAAUAUUUUAUUAUGUUGAUCCUUCAGAUGUGAGGAAACAGACUGGUACUUUAGCAGAGGCAUUUGAUCAGAAACAUAAAGAUAAAGAUGAAGACAAGGUGAAGAGGUGGAGAGCUGCUCUUACUGAAGCUGCAAAUUUGUCUGGCUGGGAUCUUAGAAAUGCUGCUGAUGGGCAUGAAGGAUUGUUUGUCAGGAAGAUUAGAGAUGAGAUCACUUGGCAUCUUUUGAACAGAACACCCUUACAUGUAGCUGAGCACCAAGUUGGAAUAGAUUCUCGCAUGCAAGCCUCAAGUUUCCUUGCAAACGUUAGGGAAACUUCAAAGGAAAGCAAAGGUAAGGUCACUAUGCAAAAUAAAUUUCUUUCUGAUAUCUCAAGUCAAACCAAGACGGUAGUAGAUGAUAUUGAUAAAGGGAUCAAUGUGAUAAAAGAGAAGAUUGGAUGCAGAAGUGUACUUGUUGUAGUUGAUGAUGUAGAUCAACUGGAUCAGCUACAUGACCUAGGUAUAGAUCCCGAUUUAUUUGGUCCAGGAAGUAGAAUUAUUGUAACGACAAGAGAUAAACAAUUGCUAGAGCACCUUCAAGUGGAUACAAUAUAUGCAGCUAGAGAAAUGAAUGAAGAAGAAAGUCUCGAGUUCUUUAGUUUGCAUGCCUUUAAGACUCGUUUUCCUAAUGAAGAAUAUGCUGAUCUCUCAAGAACCGUUGUCGAUUACUGCGGAGGUUUGCCACUAGCAAUCAAAGUAUUGGGUUCUUUUCUGUUUAGAAGAAGCACAUCUUUUUGGGAAAGCACAAUUAAAAAAUUGGGAAUGAUACCUCAUUUGGAAAUUCAAGAAAAGCUCAAAUUAAGCUUUGAUGGUUUGAAUGACGAGACAGAGAAGGAUAUAUUCCUUGAUAUCGUGUUUCUUUAUUGGAAUGGACGUAAACCAUGUAAAACAAAUACUCGAAGGUUGUGGUUUUUUUCCAGAUUCAGGCAUUGAGGUCCUCAUUCAACGGUGCCUUGUAACUGUUAGUGAAACAAACGAGAUGGGAAUGCAUGAUUUGAUACGAGACAUGGGCAGAGCAAUUGUUUGGUCAAAAUCUCCUCAGGACCCUGGAAAACGUUGUAGACUGUGGGAUGAUGCAGAUGCUACAGAUGUAUUGAGAGAUAAAUCUGGAUCUGAAGCAAUUGAAGGACUCACUCUGAAAAUGUUGACAUCUGAUGCCAAAGCUAGUUUCAGUACAAAAGCAUUUUCAAAGAUGAAGAGGCUGAGAUUGCUCAAACUCAAUCACGACCUUUCGAGACUCCCAAAUCUUGAGAAUUUUGUUCUUGAAGACUCUAUAAAUUUGUCAGAGGUUCACCAGUCCAUUGGACAUCUUGAUAGACUUUCUUCGGUAAAUCUCAAAGGCUGCAUUAUGCUUAAGGAUCUUCCAAGGAGCUUCUAUCAGAUAAAAUCAAUGAGAACUCUUGUUCUUGCUGACUGUACAAGAUUUGAGAAGUUGGAUGACGACUUGGGGAUCAUUGAUCACGCUGGAUGCUGCCUGCAUGCAAUCCCAGAUUUACCAACAAGUUUGACGAGCCUAAUUGCUGAUAACUGCCCUGCAUUGGAAAGAUUGCCAGGUCUUUCAAAACUGUCCUUAAAGAAACUGUAUAUAAGUGAUUCUACCAAACUGACUGAGAUUUGGGGAUUUGAUAAGGUCCUAUACUCUUUGUUGAACUCCUUGGAAGUCCUUCGAAUGGAAGGGUGCACUACUCUGACUACGACUCUCAGGGACAGCCUCCUACAGAAAUGGAAUCACAUUGGAGCAGCUGAUGGCAUUUUUCUCCCUGGAAAUGAUAUUCCUGAGUGGUUCGCGGUUGUAUGUGGGGGUGACACAGGCUUCUUUUUAGUGCCUCCACUUACUGGUAGAGAUGUAAUCGCAUUUACUCUCUGCGUUGCUUAUUCUCCAGCAUUUGACAGAUUGGCAACAAGCGCAACAUCUCUUUCAUUCGAUGGCUUUUUUGUUACUAAUCAUACCAAACAAACUCGUUUCUACCACCCUUCAACAUCUUCAUUCUUUGUAACUCGUGGUGUGUACUAUCUCUGGCUGGGUCAUAUACCAAACAAUGAGCUCAGUUUGGAGGCAGGUGACCUAUUUGAGGUUUUUGUACAAGUCGGAUCGGCUUUUCUCAGUGUGUCACCUGUGGAGGUGAAUAAAAUAGGGCUCAAGCUGGUAUGGAGCGACAAUCGGACAGAUUUCAGGGGACUUCAUGAUGAUCAACAUAGGCCGUGUCCUCUCCCAUAUGUUCUCUGCCGUUCGGUCAAUGAAAUUGAUUCAUUGUGA
RNA transcript from Fragaria vesca subsp. vesca, 2760 nucleotides. It is a transcript of the gene named TMV resistance protein N-like, with no coding region annotated. The record is from RefSeq and is a predicted model, not a curated record. The transcript is spliced from 8 exons. Lineage: Eukaryota; Viridiplantae; Streptophyta; Magnoliopsida; Rosales; Rosaceae.